AGCGUGGAGACAGGUGGUGCAUGGCUGUCGUCAGCUCGUGUCGUGAGAUGUUGGGUUAAGUCCCGCAACGAACGCAACCCUCACCCCUUGUUGCCAUCAGGUCAUGCUGGGCACUCUAGGGGAACUGCCCCGGUCAACGGGGAGGAAGGCGGGGAUGACGUCAAGUCAUCAUGCCCCUUACGCCCUGGGCUACACACGUGCUACAAUGGCCGGUACAAAGGGAUGCGACGCCGUGAGGCAGAGCCUAACCCAAAAAGCCGGUCUAAGUUCAGAUUGGAGUCUGCAACUCGACUCCAUAAAGGAGGAAUCGCUAGUAAUCGCGUAUCAGCACGACGCGGUGAAUACGUUCCCGGGCCUUGUACACACCGCCCGUCACACCACGAAAGCCUGCUGUACUCGAAGUCGCUGAG
RNAcentral lists this ribosomal RNA (410 nucleotides) under uncultured Methylomirabilota bacterium. RNAcentral describes it as "bacterial SSU rRNA". It matches the Rfam family "Bacterial small subunit ribosomal RNA", at positions 1025 to 1434 of the family's 1533-position model. Lineage: Bacteria; Methylomirabilota (SeqCode). The record is from RNAcentral.